ACUCUGCUAGCUGACGCCCUGGCUGCCCUCUUCCUCUUUCUUCUCGCACGUUCUUCAGUUCCAUGCACGCAUGGUUAUUUUGGUCAGAACGUGUUAACAUCAAAAUUUGGGUAAAUUUUCGUAUUGGAUUCGAAUAAGGAAAGGUGUAAUCGUAGAUAGAAAAUCUUAUCCACAAGAAGUCGAAUUCAAGAAGAAACUGUGAAGACCCAGGGCUUGGCGACGCAAAUUUAUCUAUUAAUUAGGAUUUUUAUUUUAUAUCUAAGAGAUUAGAGUCCGAUCGAGACUUAUUUGUUUCUUUUAUCUAUUAGAAACCGUGUCGUGUUAGAGAUAGAUUUUGUUAUUUCUUUUUAUCUGUUAGGAGCCAAGUCCGACACCGAUUAGCAUCCACCCGAGGGUAUAAAUAUGUAUGCCGCGGGUCAUUGUAAAUCAUCUACAUUAUAAUUUAGAUCAACUACUUUCGGUGUAUCGCCACCCUCUUCCUAGGUUUCAACUUCGGCGGAACUUGGCACCUGACGUGGGGUUGCAUUGCUUCGAUCUCCAGCGGAGGGG
This 549-nucleotide long non-coding RNA is filed under the name Oryza brachyantha (malo sina). RNAcentral's name for it is "long non-coding RNA (OBRA_LNC002667)". The record is from RNAcentral. Lineage: Eukaryota; Viridiplantae; Streptophyta; Magnoliopsida; Poales; Poaceae.